Molecule: long non-coding RNA, 324 nt
Organism: Galeopterus variegatus (Sunda flying lemur)
Lineage: Eukaryota; Metazoa; Chordata; Mammalia; Dermoptera; Cynocephalidae
Exons: 3
Source: RefSeq, a predicted model, not a curated record
UGGAAGGAUUGCCCUGUGCGGGGAGAGAGGAAACUCUAGUCAGGCCUGUCUAGACAACAGGCUUGGGGGCAGAUGUCCUCAACCUGGUGGUCAUCAUAACAGCAUUGGAUCCACAUUUCCCAUGAACCAUGGAAGCUCACAGCUCAUGCAGCCCUCUCCAGGAUAAGGAGAUCUUAAUGAGCCUUGGAUAUGGCUGUUCUCAGGAGUCUCCUGGAGUGAAAGAUUGAGCAGCCCAGCCAGAUGGAAGGGAAGAUGGAGAAUAAAGCUUGAGAGAAAAUAGGGGUCGAAGGAGAAGGGGAUCAGAUGGGGAGAACUGAAGAGCAU